AAUAUAAACAAAAUAGAUACAAAAUACAGUGUUCCUAUACAAAAUAUAUGCUAAAUUGACUGUUACUAUAAAAGUAAUAUACAAAAUAUAUUGUCAUUAUACAAAAUAGACUGUCACUAUACAACAAAUAUGCAAAAUAGACUGUCACUAUAUAAAAAUAUACAAAAUAGACUGUCACUAUAUAAAAAAAUAUAGAAAAUAGCCGUUACAGUCUAUUAGAUGUAAUAUGUUUGGGCCGAACGAUCAUUUGUGCAAGUGAUAAAAAAAUAUGGCUAUUAAAAUUUUGAUGGGCUAUAAAGGCUAAUUUUCUCAAAAAAUUAAGCAUGAAUGUAAAAAAUCUUAUUCUUAGCCAGGGUAUCUCGAAACACUUCAACAAAUGAGUCUAAAACUCAAACGGUGGUCAGUAACCUUUUCACUAAAUACAUAACUUCAUUCUAACGCUCAGAUAAACCUGAUGUUUCUUUUUCAAUUAUAUGUCCAAAGUUCACUUAAUUAAUUUUAAACCAUAUUCAAAAGACAAGUAAGAUGAAACAUUGUGUAGACAAAAUGAAACUCCUUAGACUAAUGCAUCGAGGCCUGAUACUUCAUAUAAAAUUCAUUUAUUAAUAAAGUAUGUAUUUUAACAUAGCUAUUAAAGAACAAGAAAGCUGAAGCUCUUUUUUAAUUCCGUUCCUUUUAUAUGUUUAUCAAUGAAUUAACUUAAAAUUUAUAACUAAGAUACAUAGACAAUUAAAUAUAAACAAACAAACAAACAGACAGAUUCAAUCUAAGGAUGCAAAGUUGAACAUUUGUUCAUUUUUAUGAUAAUAAAUGAAAUGACAAAAAUCACAUCUUCAUUGUCUAUUGUAGAAAAAAAUAACUCUAGAAGUUUGAGAUAAUUACCUAGUUGCAGAAUCUCAGCAGCUAAAUGACCCCUGAGUACUUAGAAACAAUGAACGCAACAUAAAUAAGAACCCAGCAACAGCAACUCCAAAAGGACAAUAGAAAAUAACAGUAACAGAAAUCAAGAAUACCCCCGAACAACCCAGUAAGAAAACACUUGAACUAGCAACUAGCAACACCAGAAAUUACUUAAGAGAUCUUUUUAUCUUUUCAAAGAUUUUGCGCACAAACAAUACUUAUAAAAGCUCUGAAAUUUCAGUUUUCCAUAUGUGCACAACUGUUGAUUUCUUUAAGAUAUAUGCCCUUUUUCGAGUGUAAACGAUGAUCUUUAUGUGAGGAAAGACCUCUUUCUUUAUAGGAAAGGAAGUAGAUUGAAUUAUUUGAUUGAAUCUGUCCAAAGGACGAAUUUUUCACCUAAAAUCUAUUCCAACUAUCCAAAAAACAAAUUUUCACCAACUAUGAACCUCUGAAAUUUCAGUUUUCCAUAUGUGCACAACUGUUGAUUUCUUUAAGAUAUAUGCCCUUUUUCGAGUGUAAACGAUGAUCUUUAUGUGAGGAAAGACCUCUUUCUUUAUAGGAAAGGAAGUAGAUUGAAUUAUUUGAUUGAAUCUGUCCAAAGGACGAAUUUUUCACCUAAAAUCUAUUCCAACUAUCCAAAAGACAAAUUUUCACCAACUAUGAACAGUGCUAGGAGCAUUGUACUCUAAACAAUAUUUAAAUAGUAAAAAGUAGCCAAACAAGUACCCUACAACCAAAUAUUCAGCAUUUAUCAUGACUGAAAUUCAAGCUAAUACACUCAUACUCAAACCAACUAUGAAUUGGCAAAGCAAGAAAUAAGACUUCAAAUGCAAUUGAACUAAGUAUCUAAACGAACUAAACUAAAACUAAUCAAUUAACGAUAACUAACAAUGAGCUAUUGAAAUAAGAAAACACUGCCCAAAACAAAACUUAGAUGAACAAUGGAAAACUAUCGAACAACGAGUAAAAUCAACUAACUAAACGACUAACUAAGUGAAUGAUUCAAAAAACAAAGAUAACUAACCAACAAUGUAUUAUUUGAAAUUCUAAUUUGACCAAAAGAGAAAUAAAAAGCUAUUGCUAUUAAAAAUCAAAAAUCAGUGAGGGAAUGGAGGUCUUGGAUUGAUACCUACAAAAUGUGCUCAUCUUAACACCACCUCGGGGAUGAAGUACGACCACCGAACUCAAGGUUUCUUGCAAACUCAGUCAUCAUGUGCCAAAAGAUGGGUCAGUGGCUUGAUGAAGCAAGAAACAUGGGUCAUGGUAACAUAUAGAAGCGGAUAGAGGCAGUUUGGAAGCAGGUGGUGGCAGUGACAAGUGCAGAUUGUCAGUGGGGUGGCCGGAUGGAAACUUCAAUGAAGAUCGGGUCAAAAUCAAUGCCAAAUGAUAGCACUUAUUGAGCUAUAUACUUCUACGUAGGCAUUAGGUGAAGAGGGUGGCUCAAUAUUUUCAUAUUUGACAAAACAAAUGCAGUUAUGGCUUUCCUAUAUCUAAAAUUCAUGGAGUUUGAAGGAAAAUUAAAGUAUCCGAGGAUUUGAUUCACGGAGAGGGGGUUUAUAGGAAGAUAUGGUAAACUAUUAGGGUGUUUUGGACUCUGGUGGACGGUAGCGGGCGGUGGUUCCGCCAUGGAGAGGGGUGCUGGCUGAGAGAGAAGAGAGAUAGAGAUAGAGGGUGCUAGGGUUUUAGGAUAAAAAUCAUGUCUUCAUUGUCUAUUUUAGAAGAAAAUUACUCUAGAAGUUUGAGACAACUACCUAGUUGUAGAAUUACAGCAGCUAAAUGACCCCCUAAGUACUUAGAAGUAACAAACACAUCAUAAACAAGAACCCAACAAUAACAACCCCAAACGGACAGUAGAAAACAGCAAUAACAGAACUCAAGAAUACCCCCGAAAAAUCCAACAAGAAAACACUUGACCUAGCAACUAGCUUGCCAUAUGUGCACAACUGUUGAUUUCUUUUAGAUAUGUGCCUUUUUUCUUUAGUGUAAAAGAUGAUCUUUAUGUCAGGAAAGACCUCUUCCUUUAUAGGAAAGGAAGAGAUUGAAUUAUUUGAUUGAAUCUAUCUAAAGGACAGAUUUUCCACCUAACUUCUAUCCCAACUAUUCAAAGGAUAGAUUUUUGGUAAAACAUCUGUACAAAAGACAAUUUUUACCAACUAUGAACAGUGGUAGGAGUAAUGUACUAUGAACAGAUUUUAAACAGUAAAAAAUAUCCAAACAAGUACCUACACUCAAAUAUUAAGCUUUUAUCAUAACUGAACUUCAAGCUAACACACUCAUACUAAGACCAACUAUGAAUUGGCAAAGCAACAAACAAGACUUCAGAUGCAAUUGAACUAAGUAUCCAAACGAACUAAACUAAAACUAACCAAUUAACGAUAACUAACAAUGGGCGAUUGAAAUAAGGAAACACUGCCCGAAAUAAAAUUCAAAUCAACAUUGAUAAAUUUAUCGAACAAUGAAUAAAACCAACUAACUAAACAACCUACUAAGUGAACGACUGAACUAAAAGAGAUAACUAAUCAACGGUGUAUUAAUUUGAAAUCCUAAUUAGAAAAAAAUAGAAAUCGAAAGCUAUUGCUACUAAAAAUCAGAAAUUAGUGAGGGAACGAAGGUCUUGGAUUGAUACCAAAAUUCGUGACUCAAAUCUGCUCGUUUUAACACCACCCUGGGGAUGAAGUACAGCUACCGAACUCGAGGUUUCUUGAAAACUCAGUCACCAUAUGCCAAAAGACGAGUCAGUGACUUGUGGAAGCAAGAAACCUGGGGCAUGUUUGCUUAUAAAAGCGGAUAGAGGCAGUUUGGCAGCGGGUGGUGGCAGUGACAACGGUGGAUCCGUAGUGGGGUGGCUAGACAGAAACUUCGCCAAUAGAUCGGGUCAAAACCAAUUCCAAAUGAUAUCCCUUGUCGAUCUAUAUACUUCUAUGUAGGCAUUGGGUGAAGGGGGUGACUCAAUAUUCACGGAUUUGAUAAAAAAUUACAGUCAGGGCUUUCCUAGAUCUAAAAUUCAUGAAGUUUGAAGGAGAAUUAAAGGAUUUGAGGCUUUGAUUCAUGGAGAGGGGGUUUAUAGGAAGAGAUUUUAAACUUUUGGGGUGUUUUGGACUCCGGUGAACGGCGACGGGCGGUGGUUUCGCCAUGGAGAGGGGCGGUGGCUGAGAGAGAAUGGAGAUAGAGAUAGAGGGGGCUAGGGUUUUAUAAUAUGUUUAAAUAAGGAAAAAAAUCUAAUCUUAGGAAUUUUCAAUGUUCCAUGAGUGAUCAAGUGACGACCAUUAGAUCAAACGGAAUGAAUGGAUGAGAUUUAAUCUUGAUUCACUUAAAUGAAAUGAUAUACUUUUGGCCUAAUACUACACCGAUU
RNAcentral lists this long non-coding RNA (4252 nucleotides) under Nicotiana benthamiana. RNAcentral describes it as "long non-coding RNA (NBEN_LNC039318)". The record is from RNAcentral. Lineage: Eukaryota; Viridiplantae; Streptophyta; Magnoliopsida; Solanales; Solanaceae.